RNAcentral lists this ribosomal RNA (484 nucleotides) under uncultured bacterium. RNAcentral describes it as "partial 16S ribosomal RNA". It matches the Rfam family "Bacterial small subunit ribosomal RNA", at positions 29 to 507 of the family's 1533-position model. The record is from RNAcentral.
AUUGAACGCUGGCGGCAGGCCUAACACAUGCAAGUCGAGCGGAUGAAGGGAGCUUGCUCCUGGAUUCAGCGGCGGACGGGUGAGUAAUGCCUAGGAAUCUGCCUGGUAGUGGGGGAUAACGUCCGGAAACGGGCGCUAAUACCGCAUACGUCCUGAGGGAGACAGUGGGGGAUCUUCGGACCUCACGCUAUCAUAUGAGCCUAGGUCGGAUUAGCUAGUUGGUGGGGUAAAGGCCUACCAAGGCGACGAUCCGUAACUGGUCUGAGAGGAUGAUCAGUCAAAAGGGAAAGGAGAAACGGUACAGACUCCGAAGGGAGGAAGCAGGGGGGAAUAUUGGAGAAAGGGCGAAAGGCUGAUCCAGGAAUGCCGGGGGUGUGAAGAAGGUCUUAGGAGGGGAAAGCACUGUAAGUUGGGAGGAAGGGAAGUAAGUUAAGACCGUGCUGUUUUGACGGUACCAAAAGAAUAAGCACCGGCUAACUUCGUG